This 1372-nucleotide ribosomal RNA is filed under the name uncultured bacterium. Its description in RNAcentral is "bacterial SSU rRNA". It matches the Rfam family "Bacterial small subunit ribosomal RNA", at positions 28 to 1381 of the family's 1533-position model. The record is from RNAcentral.
GAUGAACGCUGGCGGCGUGCCUAAUACAUGCAAGUCGAGCGAACGGACGAGAAGCUUGCUUCUCUGAUGUUAGCGGCGGACGGGUGAGUAACACGUGGAUAACCUACCUAUAAGACUGGGAUAACUUCGGGAAACCGGAGCUAAUACCGGAUAAUAUUUUGAACCGCAUGGUUCAAAAGUGAAAGACGGUCUUGCUGUCACUUAUAGAUGGAUCCGCGCUGCAUUAGCUAGUUGGUAAGGUAACGGCUUACCAAGGCAACGAUGCAUAGCCGACCUGAGAGGGUGAUCGGCCACACUGGAACUGAGACACGGUCCAGACUCCUACGGGAGGCAGCAGUAGGGAAUCUUCCGCAAUGGGCGAAAGCCUGACGGAGCAACGCCGCGUGAGUGAUGAAGGUCUUCGGAUCGUAAAACUCUGUUAUUAGGGAAGAACAUAUGUGUAAGUAACUGUGCGCAUCUUGACGGUACCUAAUCAGAAAGCCACGGCUAACUACGUGCCAGCAGCCGCGGUAAUACGUAGGUGGCGAGCGUUAUCCGGAAUUAUUGGGCGUAAAGCGCGCGUAGGCGGUUUUUUAAGUCUGAUGUGAAAGCCCACGGCUCAACCGUGGAGGGUCAUUGGAAACUGGAAAACUUGAGUGCAGAAGAGGAAAGUGGAAUUCCAUGUGUAGCGGUGAAAUGCGCAGAGAUAUGGAGGAACACCAGUGGCGAAGGCGACUUUCUGGUCUGUAACUGACGCUGAUGUGCGAAAGCGUGGGGAUCAAACAGGAUUAGAUACCCUGGUAGUCCACGCCGUAAACGAUGAGUGCUAAGUGUUAGGGGGUUUCCGCCCCUUAGUGCUGCAGCUAACGCAUUAAGCACUCCGCCUGGGGAGUACGACCGCAAGGUUGAAACUCAAAGGAAUUGACGGGGACCCGCACAAGCGGUGGAGCAUGUGGUUUAAUUCGAAGCAACGCGAAGAACCUUACCAAAUCUUGACAUCCUUUGACAACUCUAGAGAUAGAGCCUUCCCCUUCGGGGGACAAAGUGACAGGUGGUGCAUGGUUGUCGUCAGCUCGUGUCGUGAGAUGUUGGGUUAAGUCCCGCAACGAGCGCAACCCUUAAGCUUAGUUGCCAUCAUUAAGUUGGGCACUCUAAGUUGACUGCCGGUGACAAACCGGAGGAAGGUGGGGAUGACGUCAAAUCAUCAUGCCCCUUAUGAUUUGGGCUACACACGUGCUACAAUGGACAAUACAAAGGGCAGCGAAACCGCGAGGUCAAGCAAAUCCCAUAAAGUUGUUCUCAGUUCGGAUUGUAGUCUGCAACUCGACUACAUGAAGCUGGAAUCGCUAGUAAUCGUAGAUCAGCAUGCUACGGUGAAUACGUUCCCGGGUCU